Molecule: long non-coding RNA, 1125 nt
Organism: Homo sapiens (human)
Lineage: Eukaryota; Metazoa; Chordata; Mammalia; Primates; Hominidae
Product: long intergenic non-protein coding RNA 1473
Source: Ensembl
CCUCAGCUGUUGCAGCUUCUUGAUCUUGGACUUCUCAGCCUCUAUACUGAGAAAAAGAAGUGUUCUAUAAGAAGUUUGGACAAGACUCUGCAAGAAGUUAAGAGGUCCUUAAAGGCAACUGUGAAUUAACGGAGACUAGUUUUGAGAAAAUCAGUCCUGAUUUGUUUCUCCUGGAGUUUUCUUCUUUAUGUGAUCCUUCAUAAAAGCUGCUAAUAUGGGAAAGAUUGAAAUCAGCAAGUUUCUGGCUGUAAGCUAAAAGAGGCUCUUGAAUCAUAUUUCCGCCUGCUUAGCAAAUUUCUCUUGCGACAAUUGGAUGUUAUUUGGGGUUCCAUACUAGCAGGAAGAAGUACAAGCAAAGCUAAGUCAUUUUGAGAAUAAAUAUUAUCUCUCUAUAUAUUUGUAAAUGUUAUUUUCUUUUUUUUUGAGGUUUAUGAUUGAUCCUUGGCAUGUGUCCCCUUGUGUAUUGCUCUACUAAAAAUAGCCUAAAAAAGAAUUUUCCCCUCGAUGUGGAGCUUCUCUUUAGUUACAAUUCUACUUUCUCCUUCACUUGAGUAUCAGUCUUCAGAGAACUACCAUAACAAAGGAGUGGAUACAGAUAUACGCAAAAAAGUCUAUGAGAAAAUUAGUACAUUAAAUUUGUGAAAGCUCAUUUAAAGUAAUUUUCUACUAACAAUUUUAAUCAAAUGUAUUAAUCAUAUUUCUAUGCUUAGUGAUGUUAAAUAAAAAUUUAAAAGGUGGCAAUCAAUAAACAGAGAUAAAAGCUUCUCAAGAAUAAAUGAAAGGAAGUAAUAAAAAGACUCACUAAGCUGAAUUGCCUCCUAUCAACAGCAGCUGAUAAAAUAUUAAAAGAUUUGCCUUGUGUAAUGUCUCUGGAGAGCUGUCUUACUGAUGUACGAGGCCAUGAUUGACAACUUUGAGACUUUGCUGGAAGCGACAAAAGUAUAUCUAUAAUAUUAUGCUGAAUUGCAUAGGUCUUUCUUCUUAAAUGAGGCUAGAAAUAACAUACCACCAAGUGUUUGGCUUUUAGGAAAUUGAGCAUUUUCUUUAGUUCUAGCUGCAGUUUAAUUUCCUCAGAAUUAGACAUUAUGCGGUAUCUGGAACGUUAAAAAAAAAAAAAAGCAAAAA